UGAGAUGACUGCCCAAUGCACCACCUGUGCCCCCUACUGUGCAAACAUUACACGCACGCACCAUGUGUACACGCACGCACCAUGUGUAUACGCGCAUUGUUAACGUUGAGCUCACGCAUCCAAGGGGCCAAUGUUCAAGAGAGGGAGCAAUGGAAAAGGAAUCUAAAUAAACUCAAACCCCCGAUCUUUACGUCACAACUCCGCAAUAUCUCAUCGGUGUGCGGCGCCUGAGGGAGGUGUCCUCGCUAGUGACGUCAUGUCACCAAGGUAUUCAUCCCCCAACGCCCCCUCCACCGCGCGUUUGAGCGUAACGUCACGUCUGGUUGGUCACGGCCGAUUUCUGUUCCAGUAAAAAUCCUUAUUUGGGCAAGGCUACGCCUAGUCACUGGCCGUUCAUUAACAUAAUUUAUUCAUAAAUACCGUCGCGAGUUCAUUGCGACGGGUUCAGCAUCCACGCCCCAUCAUUGUACAUGGGCACGUGUCAUUGUACAAUGAUGGGGCGUACAUGGGCACGUGUCAUUAACAUAAUUUAUUCAGUUCGCCGCUCGUUGGGGGAGGGGAUUGUGUGAACCCCGCAAGUGACGUCAUGUCACCGUCUGCUGCCGCGUGACGUCACGAGAUACCAGGAAGCUGCACCGAGCGCGCUCUCUCAGAUCCGAGGUCACAGCUCAGUCCAAGGUUGCGUUGGAUUGGUGGUGUGUCGACAAAUUGGUCUGAUGGAGCAAAGGCACUCAGCGCAGCUCGGUACAAAAAAGAAACAAUG
Molecule: non-coding RNA, 763 nt
Organism: Petromyzon marinus (sea lamprey)
Lineage: Eukaryota; Metazoa; Chordata; Hyperoartia; Petromyzontiformes; Petromyzontidae
Source: RefSeq, a predicted model, not a curated record